CGACCAGGCUCCAGUCCUGUACCUCAACAGUUCCAGUGCACGAGAAGGGGAAACACUUUUGGUUCAUUGUGUCAUUGAUUGGCAGUUUCCUGCUACACGAGUUGUCUUCUGCAAGAAUGGGCUGGAGGAGUUCAGCCUGAAAGCCCAGCAGGGCAGGCUCAUCUACGCUCUGGUCCUGAACAUCACCUCCAGAAGUGCUGGGAUGUACACGUGUGGGUACCAGCAAAAGAACAAGGAAAACAACGUGAAGAACUCUGCUCUCAGUGCUCCCCGGACCUUGUCUGUAGCAGGUGCUGGUGAGACCACCACUGAUAUCCACAGCCACACAGCCCCAUAUCCCCGGAUUCUGCACACCCUCCCCACAGGCACGGUGCUGGCAGUGGCGGCCGUCGGCCUCGUCCUCCUGGCUGCAGGCAGCUGGUUUGCCAUCAGGAAACGUGCCUGCAGAGGGAGAUGCCCAAGGUGAGCACCAAGGGCUCCUGGCUGUGGGGUACGCGGGAGGGACUUGGGUGCAUGGCAGGGCCCUGGGGUGCUCCUUGUUCAGGGGCAUCUCCUGUG
This 558-nucleotide long non-coding RNA is filed under the name Anas platyrhynchos platyrhynchos (common mallard). RNAcentral describes it as "lncRNA (ENSAPLG00000016865.1)". Lineage: Eukaryota; Metazoa; Chordata; Aves; Anseriformes; Anatidae. The record is from RNAcentral.